AUGGCAGCUAUCACAUCCGUAUGCCAGGAGACAUCUAAAGGAAGGGAGAAAAGGCAAAAUGUUGGGCCUUCUAGAGCAAAGAGGAGAAGAGGCACAGGAAUUCCCAGCAAAUGGACAAGAGAAGCUAUUCACAUCUUCCAAACUCUGAGACAAGACAUCCCAGGACAAAUCACUGUGAGGACUGCAGCCAGUUAUGGCAGAAGGUCCCGCAUCACUGAAUCCAGAGCUGGAGGAGUCCAGGAGACACCAGCAGUCAUUUUGCCGGAGAUAUUGAUCAGCCAGAGAAUACACGUCUGUGCACUGGGUAAGUCCAGGAGCAGGAGUGGAGGCAGGUUUACCUGAAGUAAGCAACAAUGUCCAGUGGAAUGAGG
Molecule: long non-coding RNA, 371 nt
Filed under: Bos indicus x Bos taurus (hybrid cattle)
Lineage: Eukaryota; Metazoa; Chordata; Mammalia; Artiodactyla; Bovidae
Description: lncRNA (ENSBIXG00000021522.1)
Source: RNAcentral